AAAUUCCUUGUCGGGUAAGUUCCGACCUGCACGAAUGGCGUAACGAUCUCCACACUGUCUCGGCCAGAGACUCGGUGAAAUUGAAGUCGCGGUGAAAAUGCCGUGUACCCGCAGAAAGACGGAAAGACCCUGUGCACCUUUACUAUAGCUUGACAUUGGGAUUUGAGCCUGCAUGUGUAGCAUAGGUGGGAGGCUGUGAACUCUGUACGCCAGUAUGGAGGGAGCCAUCGUUGAAAUACCACCCUUGUUUGUUCAGGUCCCUAACUCUUCGCCGUGAUCCGGUAAGAGGACAGUGUCUGGUGGGUAGUUUGACUGGGGCGGUCGCCUCCCAAAAUGUAACGGAGGCAUGCAAAGGUUCCCUCAGGCUGAUUGGAAACCAGCCGUCGAGUGCAAACGCAAAAGGGAGCUUGACUGCAAGAGAGACAUCUCGAGCAGGUACGAAAGUAGGUGUUAGUGAUCCGGUGAUCCCGAAUGGAAGGGUCAUCGCUCAUUGGAUAAAAGGUACGCCGGGGAUAACAGGCUGAUCGCAUCCAAGAGUUCACAUCGACGAUGCGGUUUGGCACCUCGAUGUCGGCUCAUCACAUCCUGGGGCUGAAGCAGGUCCCAAGGGUACGGCUGUUCGCCGUUUAAAGUGGUACGCGAGCUGGGUUUAAAACGUCGUGAGACAGUUUGGUCCCUAUCUUCUGUGGGCGUAGGAGAAUUGAAAGGGCCUGUCCCUAGUACGAGAGGACCGGGAUGGACACACCACUGGUGGACCUGUUGUCGUGCCAACGGCACAGCAGGGUAGCUAUGUGUGGAAGGGAUAACCGCUGAAAGCAUCUAAGCGGGAAGCCUGCCUUAAGAUAAGUUCUCCCUGACGCAAGUCCUGAAGGGCCGAGGUAGACGACCUCGUUGAUAGGCUGGAGGUGGAAGCCCUGUGAGGGGUGGAGCUGACCAGUACUAAUAGCCCGUGCGUCUUGUUUCU
This 964-nucleotide ribosomal RNA is filed under the name human gut metagenome. Its description in RNAcentral is "bacterial LSU rRNA". It matches the Rfam family "Bacterial large subunit ribosomal RNA", at positions 1962 to 2925 of the family's 2925-position model. The record is from RNAcentral.